GAUGAACGCUGGCGGCGUGCCUAAUACAUGCAAGUCGAGCGAACGGACGAGAAGCUUGCUUCUCUGAUGUUAGCGCGGACGGGUGAGUAACACGUGGAUAACCUACCUAUAAGACUGGGAUAACUUCGGGAAACCGGAGCUAAUACCGGAUAAUAUUUUGAACCGCAUGGUUCAAAAGUGAAAGACGGUCUUGCUGUCACUUAUAGAUGGAUCCGCGCUGCAUUAGCUAGUUGGUAAGGUAACGGCUUACCAAGGCAACGAUGCAUAGCCGACCUGAGAGGGUGAUCGGCCACACUGGAACUGAGACACGGUCCAGACUCCUACGGGAGGCAGCAGUAGGGAAUCUUCCGCAAUGGGCGAAAGCCUGACGGAGCAACGCCGCGUGAGUGAUGAAGGUCUUCGGAUCGUAAAACUCUGUUAUUAGGGAAGAACAUAUGUGUAAGUAACUGUGCACAUCUUGACGGUACCUAAUCAGAAAGCCACGGCUAACUACGUG
Molecule: ribosomal RNA, 496 nt
Filed under: uncultured bacterium
Lineage: Bacteria
Description: partial 16S ribosomal RNA
Rfam family: Bacterial small subunit ribosomal RNA
Source: RNAcentral